GUCGACGGUGAACACGGAGCUUGCUCUGUGGGAUCAGUGGCGAACGGGUGAGUAACACGUGAGCAACCUGCCCCUGACUCUGGGAUAAGCGCUGGAAACGGCGUCUAAUACUGGAUAUGUGACGUGACCGCAUGGUCUGCGUCUGGAAAGAAUUUCGGUUGGGGAUGGGCUCGCGGCCUAUCAGCUUGUUGGUGAGGUAAUGGCUCACCAAGGCGUCGACGGGUAGCCGGCCUGAGAGGGUGACCGGCCACACUGGGACUGAGACACGGCCCAGACUCCUACGGGAGGCAGCAGUGGGGAAUAUUGCACAAUGGGCGCAAGCCUGAUGCAGCAACGCCGCGUGAGGGACGACGGCCUUCGGGUUGUAAACCUCUUUUAGCAGGGAAGAAGCGAAAGUGACGGUACCUGCAGAAAAAGCGCCGGCUAACUACGUGCCAGCAGCCGCGGUAAUACGUAGGGCGCAAGCGUUAUCCGGAAUUAUUGGGCGUAAAGAGCUCGUAGGCGGUUUGUCGCGUCUGCUGUGAAAUCCGGAGGCUCAACCUCCGGCCUGCAGUGGGUACGGGCAGACUAGAGUGCGGUAGGGGAGAUUGGAAUUCCUGGUGUAGCGGUGGAAUGCGCAGAUAUCAGGAGGAACACCGAUGGCGAAGGCAGAUCUCUGGGCCGUAACUGACGCUGAGGAGCGAAAGGGUGGGGAGCAAACAGGCUUAGA
This 709-nucleotide ribosomal RNA is filed under the name Microbacterium sp. Y4_345_2. RNAcentral's name for it is "bacterial SSU rRNA". It matches the Rfam family "Bacterial small subunit ribosomal RNA", at positions 61 to 782 of the family's 1533-position model. Lineage: Bacteria; Bacillati; Actinomycetota; Actinomycetes; Micrococcales; Microbacteriaceae. The record is from RNAcentral.